Homo sapiens (human) is the source of this 117-nucleotide non-coding RNA. It matches the Rfam family "Metazoan signal recognition particle RNA". From Rfam's summary of the family: The signal recognition particle (SRP) is a universally conserved ribonucleoprotein. Lineage: Eukaryota; Metazoa; Chordata; Mammalia; Primates; Hominidae. The record is from Rfam.
GCUGGGCGCGGUGGCUCACGCCUGUAAUCCCAGCACUUUGGGAGGCUGAGGCAGGUGGAUCACCUGAGGUCGGGAGUUCAAGACCAGCCUGACCAACAUGGUGAAACCCUGUCUCUG